RNAcentral lists this ribosomal RNA (426 nucleotides) under uncultured bacterium. Its description in RNAcentral is "partial 16S ribosomal RNA". It matches the Rfam family "Bacterial small subunit ribosomal RNA", at positions 354 to 796 of the family's 1533-position model. The record is from RNAcentral.
GUGAGGAAUUUUCCGCAAUGGGCGAAAGCCUGACGGAGCAAUGCCGCGUGAAGGAUGAAGGCCUAUGGGUUGUAAACUUCUUUUCUCAGAAAAGAAUUAUGACGGUAUCUGAGGAAUAAGCAUCGGCUAACUCUGUGCCAGCAGCCGCGGUAAGACAGAGGAUGCAAGCGUUAUUCGGAAUGAUUGGGCGUAAAGCGUCUGUAGGUUGUUUAAAAAGUAUUCUGUCAAAGAUUAGGGCUUAACCCUAGAUAGGCAGAAUAAACUUUUAAGCUAGAGUUUGGUAGAGGCAGAGGGAAUUCCCGGUGGAGCGGUGAAAUGCGUAGAUAUCGGGAGGAACACCAAAGGCGAAGGCACUCUGCUGGGCCAAUACUAACACUGAGAGACGAAAGCGAGGGGAGCAAAUGGGAUUAGAAACCCGUGUAGUCC